AUGGGAAGGCUGGCCGUCACCGCCGCGGUGGCCGCAUGGGCUAUCCCGAUCGCCGCCUUGGUUGACUCCAUCGUGCCUGACCCCUACAUGGAUGAGAUAUUCCAUGUUCCCCAGGCGCAACACUAUUGCCGUGGAGAUUUCUUAACGUGGGAUCCCAUGAUCACCACCCCUCCUGGCCUGUACUACAUUUCUCUAGCAUAUCUUGCUUCCCUGUUUCCUGGUGCAUGGGCUAUUAAGGUAGCAGAGGCAUUUGACCCCCUUUGCACCACGGCACUUCUCCGGUCAACUAAUGUUAUAAUGGCAAUGGUCUGUGGUGUUCUUGUCCAUGACCUGCUUCUGUGUAUCAAGCCAGGAAUUGGCAAGAUGAAGGCAACUGCUUAUGCUAUUCUUGUAGCGUUGUAUCCUGUUCACUGGUUCUUUACCUUUCUGUAUUAUACUGAUGUCGCAUCAUUAGCUGCAGUUCUUGCGAUGUACCUGUCCUGCUUGAAGAAACGGUUUUGGGUCAGCGCACUGUUCGGUGCUCUCUCAAUACUUUUCCGGCAGACUAAUGUAAUAUGGAUGAUAUUUUUUGCUGCCAAUGGAGCCAUUGCAUAUGUGCAAGAUCUUUCUCUCAGUGACUGCCCUUCUGAUGAGAACAGUGAACCAACAGAUAAAUCAAGAGCAGAAGUGUCUGACAGGGAUAGCAAAGUCAGUGCUUUAGGUUUGAGAAGGCGGCGAACUAAUCACUCCAUAAGUAAGAGGGGAGUUGUUUCUGGAUCUACUAAAUCACACACGAGUUUUACGGAAGAACUAUUUGACAUCGGCUUCAAAAUAUGGAAUUCAAAGUGUAAAGUUUUAAUCACUUUUGCACCGUUCGCAAUAGUUCUGGUGACAUUUGGAGCAUUUAUAAUCUGGAAUGGUGGCAUAGUACUAGGUGCCAAGGAAGCUCAUGUUGUUUCACCACAUUUUGCACAGUUAUUGUACUUUGGUCUAGUGUCAGCUACUGCCCUCCUACCGUGGCAUUUUACUCCCGGACGAGUAUCAGACUUGUUCCACUGGUGUAGAAAGAACAAAACCUUUAGUUCUCUGGCAAUGCUGAUAGCUCUUGGUUUAAGCUUUGUGGCUAUACAUUUAUUCAGUAUUGCUCACCCUUAUCUUCUGGCUGACAAUAGACAUUACACGUUCUAUAUCUGGAGGAAGGUCAUACAAGCUCACUGGAUGAUGAAAUACAUUUUGAUUCCACUUUAUGUGUACUCAUGGUUUUCAGUUAUCAACAUCUUAGUUUUUCCUGAUCUUACAGGGAAAUCGCAGCCAAGAGUUUGGGUGGUGUCCUUUGUUUUCUCAGUUGCUCUAGUUCUCGUCCCUGCUCCGUUGGUUGAAUUUAGAUACUACACAAUCCCAUUGGUCGUACUGGUCCUUAAUUCUCCAGUAAUCGGUAAUGGCAAAUUGCUUGCUUUGGGGUCUGCAUAUGCUGCUGUGGAUUUGUUCACUCUGGCGAUGUUUCUGUUCAGACCAUUCCAUUGGGGCCAUGAGCCGGGAACACAAAGGUUCAUGUGGUAG
Molecule: ribosomal RNA, 1539 nt
Filed under: Triticum aestivum (bread wheat)
Lineage: Eukaryota; Viridiplantae; Streptophyta; Magnoliopsida; Poales; Poaceae
Description: partial small subunit ribosomal RNA
Source: RNAcentral